GGAGUGGGAUCAGCUGUUUACAGCAGUCGACAAUGAUAAACGGAUCAAUCAACAAACCUACAUUUUAUACUAAUAUAUUUUAACGUUUUCCAAGUAGGCUAUCGAUCAGAUAAAAUUAACUGCCGGACUGAUUGAUCGCUACAAAAUAUUAAAAGUUUUAUCCCUUUUCACCAGCCAACAUGCUGAGGAUUCAUUAAAAUCAGUUAUAAGGAACGAAAACGUAGGCGAAAAAUACUGGAGCAAAAUGCAGGAUUACGAGCCUUGCCCGCGUUUCGCUCAUCAGCUGGUCUACAAUUACGUGAAAAAAGUUCACUAUUUGUUCGGUGGGAAUCCAGGUCGUUCUUGCUUACCGAAAUUACGUUCGACUACUUUUGGCAACUCCGCUCUGCCGACCAUCCCGCAAACAAAUAUUACGAAAAUGCAAAUUAAUCAUACGAAAAUAUAAGUUCGAAAAACUCGCCAUGACGGACAGCAUCGAGGCUCUCUAGUAUCUUCAAAAUGAAGUUUCCGAUAUCAUUGAUAACGAUAACGAGGAGCAAACCAAAGAGUUUCAACUACUGGCAUCCGUCACAUUCCGGGAACAGGAGGAAAAAACGCAAGAAAACUUCAUGUCCGUCGAACCGAAUUGUAUGGCAAGUUGACAGAAUUUUUUUCCGAAUUGCUCACGCAGCCUCGGGACAAUUUAAUUGAUUUAUUGCCAUUAUGAUGAACGAGUGAAACCGGGUAAUCGACAACUCAUUGGCGAUUGACAAUGAUCAAUUGAAUCUGGAGUAGAGGAGAUUAGUGAGCGGUUCAAAAGGAGCAGUCACUGCGUGGCUCAAGAAUGUCCAAAAUUAUUGCGCAAAGGUCUUCUGGAGUUGUUCCCUGGCUGUGUCGAAGUGGCCUCACCGCAGUUUACCAUUAUAACUGUUGAUCAAAAAUUAAAUGAUCAAAGUCACCUGUGGAGCAGGAAAAUGAAAACUGAGAAGCUGGCUAUAGUCUUACAUAAAUAUUCUUGUGAUUGGUGAUUCAUCAUUGGCGAAAUUUCAGCUGGAUUUUGCACUGUUUCAAGAGCUAUAGCAACAACCGGGCGAGGUUCGUUCGGGGCUGGUUUUAACAGCGGCUGGUACAUCCGAUCAAGAAGCUGGAGAACGUAGGUUGGAAGCUGGUGCUAUGGUUUUUAUGACUGCUGUAACUGCCAGCCAUUGAAUUACGAAGAUGCACAAUCCGAAGUUCAGCCUCCAUCCUUCUACAAGGACGCUUCAUCGUAAAUUCAAGCUGG
Molecule: long non-coding RNA, 1261 nt
Organism: Venturia canescens
Lineage: Eukaryota; Metazoa; Arthropoda; Insecta; Hymenoptera; Ichneumonidae
Exons: 5
Source: RefSeq, a predicted model, not a curated record